Molecule: ribosomal RNA, 255 nt
Filed under: uncultured Pseudomonas sp.
Lineage: Bacteria; Pseudomonadati; Pseudomonadota; Gammaproteobacteria; Pseudomonadales; Pseudomonadaceae
Description: partial 16S ribosomal RNA
Rfam family: Bacterial small subunit ribosomal RNA
Source: RNAcentral
CGGCGGACGGGUGAGUAAUGCCUAGGAAUCUGCCUGGUAGUAGGGGACAACGUUUCGAAAGGAACGCUAAUACCGCAUACGUCCUACGGAGAAAGCAGGGACCUUCGGGCCUUGCGCUAUCAGAUGAGCCUAGGUCGGAUUAGCUAGUUGGUGAGGUAAUGGCUCACCAAGGCGACGAUCCGUAACUGGUCUGAGAGGAUGAUCAGCCACACUGGAACUGAGACACGGUCCAGACUCCUACGGGAGGCAGCAGGC